GAGUAUCCAAUUUUAAUAUAUAUAUCAUUGUUCUUCACAUGAUCGUUUAGUACUGAUUACUGUCUUUAUUGUAGCCGGUUCUGUUUUACUAAAUAUGAACCAUAUUAUAUCUAAUAUGGGAAGUUGUUUUUUUCUAUAGAUGCGGGAUAUAACCAAGUUUAAAGUUAUUAAUAGACUAUGGCUUUGUUGAUGAAGAUAAUUCUUAUGGUUACAUUUUAUUGAGGCAUCCUAAACACCAAAGAUCCUCAAUACCAUGAUAAGGUAUGGGCUGCUCAACCAAAUGAAAAACUGGUUAAUGGAUAUACAAGUCUUACGGGUUACCAAAAGAUGACACACAUCUUGACAUCUUUAACUGGUGAAAAAGUGCUUGUCAUUCCAGAGAGAGGGUGGGACCACUUUGCGUGUGGAAGUGAAAGAUACUUGCAUAAACUUUGAGCUAGGAAGCGGAUACCACCACAUGUCAAGUUUGUACUGGAGAACCCGGAAGGGGUAUUCUACUGAGAGUUUUCCUUUAAGGGAGGCUUGGGACUGGAAAUACAUAACUUCAAAAGCAUUGGCACGCUCAUUAUGCUGACAUUAAAAAUCCUUUCAAGAAGAAACUGUCCCUGAAGUAAGCCUACCUGCUAAAUGCUAAACUGUCAGGUCCGUGAAGUAAUCAAACUUCGAAUGACACUUAAUUCCUUGGAAAGAAAAGUUUGUAUUUCUGAAGGUACCACUUUUGGCCACAUGCUGAUGUUCCAUUUUCUUUGGUAAUCCUGGCACACGUCAAGGGGAAGUCACCGGUUUUGACUUUACCAGUGUAUUAGUACGUACUAUAUCUUCGCUCGGAGGCAAAUGGAGGUUUUGAGGAGUCCUUGCAGUGUGAGCGUGCACAAUAAUCUUUAAUUAGUAAACAAGACCCUUAGAACCGGCCGAGACCUGAGUAGGCGCGCAAUGGAAGUGCAGUUGUCUUUCCGAAUGUCGAGACCUGUUUCGAUGGUGAUCAUUGUCAAUCUAAAAGAAUGUAUAUAUCAAGAUACAUGUGAACUAUUGUGAUUUUUCACCAUAUAACCAUAUUUAAUGCCAUGUUUGAUAAUUUUAUUCAGA
Long non-coding RNA from Papaver somniferum (opium poppy), 1086 nucleotides. RefSeq lists it as uncharacterized. The transcript has 6 exons. The record is from RefSeq and is a predicted model, not a curated record. Lineage: Eukaryota; Viridiplantae; Streptophyta; Magnoliopsida; Ranunculales; Papaveraceae.